UACAGGGGGGGCAAGCGUUGUUCGGAAUUACUGGGCGUAAAGGGCUCGUAGGCGGCCAACUAAGUCGGAUGUGAAAUCCCCAGGCUCAACUUGGGAACUGCAUCCGAUACUGGAUGGCUUGAAUUCGGGAGAGGGAUGCAGAAUUCCAGGUGUAGCGGUGAAAUGCGUAGAUAUCUGGAGGAAUACCGGUGGCGAAGGCGGCAUCCUGGACCGACAUUGACGCUGAGGAGCGAAAGCUAGGGGAGCAAACAGG
Molecule: ribosomal RNA, 253 nt
Filed under: uncultured bacterium
Lineage: Bacteria
Description: partial 16S ribosomal RNA
Rfam family: Bacterial small subunit ribosomal RNA
Source: RNAcentral